RNAcentral lists this ribosomal RNA (267 nucleotides) under uncultured bacterium. RNAcentral describes it as "partial 16S ribosomal RNA". It matches the Rfam family "Bacterial small subunit ribosomal RNA", at positions 506 to 784 of the family's 1533-position model. The record is from RNAcentral.
UGCCAGCAGCCGCGGUAAUACGGAGGGGGUUAGCGUUGUUCGGAAUUACUGGGCGUAAAGCGCACGUAGGCAUCUUGUGAAAUCCCUCGGCUCAACCGGGGAAUUGCAGGGUGAACCACAAGUCUUGAGGCGAGUAGAGGCGGUCGGAACGAUAGGUGGAGCGGUGAAAUGCGUAGAUAUCUAUCGGAACGCCAAAGGUGAAGACAGGCCGCUGGGCUCGUCCUGACGCUGAGGUACGAAAGCAUGGGUAGCGAACGGGAUUAGAUA